RNAcentral lists this ribosomal RNA (406 nucleotides) under uncultured bacterium. Its description in RNAcentral is "partial 16S ribosomal RNA". It matches the Rfam family "Bacterial small subunit ribosomal RNA", at positions 29 to 526 of the family's 1533-position model. The record is from RNAcentral.
AUUGAACGCUGGCGGCAGGCCUAACACAUGCAAGUCGAGCGAGCGGCGGACGGGUGAGACAUGUCUGGGAAACUGCCCGAUGGAGGGGGAUAACUCCUGGAAACGGUAGCUAAUACCGCAUACCAUCAGAUGUGCUCAGAUGGGAUUAGCUAGUAGGUGGGGUAACGGCUCACCUAGGCGACGAUCCCUAGCUGGUCUGAGAGGAUGACCAGCCACACUGGAACUGAGACACGGUCCAGACUCCUACGGGAGGCAGCAGUGGGGAAUAUGGCACAAUGGGCGCAAGCCUGAUGCAGCCAUGCCGCGUGUGGGAAGAAGGCCUUCGGGUUGUAAAGCACUGUCAGCGGGGAGGCGUUACCCGCAGAAGAAGCACCGGCUAACUCCGUGCCAGCAGCCGCGGUAAUAC